UUCAUUAAGCCUGAAAUCAGGUGGGAUUACCCGCUGAACUUAAGCAUAUCAAUAAGCGGAGGA
This 63-nucleotide ribosomal RNA is filed under the name Lentamyces zychae. RNAcentral describes it as "partial 28S ribosomal RNA". It matches the Rfam family "Eukaryotic large subunit ribosomal RNA", at positions 1 to 57 of the family's 3401-position model. Lineage: Eukaryota; Fungi; Mucoromycota; Mucoromycetes; Mucorales; Lentamycetaceae. The record is from RNAcentral.